This 30-nucleotide non-coding RNA is filed under the name Mus musculus (house mouse). The record is from RNAcentral. Lineage: Eukaryota; Metazoa; Chordata; Mammalia; Rodentia; Muridae.
UAGCAAUAACUAUUGCUGUGAGGAGCCGCC